UUCAGUGUUCAAAAACCUCCAGAAUAUUUGAAGAGCAGCAGCCAACAAUAAAAUCCUGCAAAAGUGCCCGUUUGAUUGUUUUAUCACAUUAAGUAAAUCCAGGAGGAAAGUGAAUGUGUUUUCAGGAGUCUGUUGAGUGGAGAGUGUUUUGCAUGUUUACUGCUCCACACACAAAACUCCUCUGAUGAUCAGUGUGUGUUCAGUCCUGACAGAGUCACUGACACACUGAACAAUAAUGGCUCUUUUACUGAUUCUGGCUACACUGGCUCUGCUGGCUCAAGUGUCUCAUGAAGAGGUCCAGACUCCUGAGUCUCUGUCUGUUAAAGCAGGAGAAUCUGCCACUAUUAGCUGCACUGCGUCUUCUGGAAUUGGUUAUGCCAUGAGCUGGUAUCUGCUGAAACCUGGAAAAACUCCUAAACUCCUGAUUUACUCUACUAGUAACCUUGCAUCUGAAGUUUCAAACCGGUUCAGUGGAAGUUAUUCUGGAUAUCAAUUUAUGCUGAACAUACGUGGAGUCCAGAAUGAAGAUGCAGGAGAUUAUUUCUGCUCUCGGUCACUGCAUUCUGGGAUGGGUGCGUGGCGUCACAGCUGAUGGUUGUUGCUCUCCUCCACUCACUCUCAGUGAGGCUCAGGCUGCUGCUCCAGCUGUACAGUCCAUCCUUCUGCAGCACACUGGGACUCAGAUUCACAGCAGAGCUCCUGCUGCUGCCAUCCAGCUCUAUCAGUCUUUCGCUUCC
Molecule: non-coding RNA, 737 nt
Organism: Ctenopharyngodon idella (grass carp)
Lineage: Eukaryota; Metazoa; Chordata; Actinopteri; Cypriniformes; Xenocyprididae
Source: the annotation of a RefSeq genome assembly